CAGCAGCCGCGGUAAUACCAGCUCUCCGAGUGGUGUGGAUGUUUAUUGGGCCUAAAGCAUCCGUAGCUGGCCAGGUUAGUCCCCUGUUAAAUCCACCGAAUUAAUCGUUGGAUUGCGGGGGAUACUGCUUGGCUAGGGGACGAGAGAGGCAGACGGUAUUUCCGGGGUAGGGGUGAAAUCCUAUAAUCCCGGGAAGACCACCAGUGGCGAAGGCUGUCUGCUAGAACGCGCCCGACGGUGAGGGAUGAAAGCUGGGGGAGCGAACCGGAUUAGAUACCCGGGUAGUCCCAGCUGUAAACGAUGCAGACUAGGUGUUUGGACGGCCACGUGCCGUUCUAGUGCCGCAGGGAAGCUGUUAAGUCUGCCGCCUGGGGAGUACGAUCGCAAGAUUGAAACUCAAAGGAAUUGACGG
This 412-nucleotide ribosomal RNA is filed under the name uncultured archaeon. RNAcentral's name for it is "bacterial SSU rRNA". It matches the Rfam family "Archaeal small subunit ribosomal RNA", at positions 459 to 871 of the family's 1478-position model. The record is from RNAcentral.